RNAcentral lists this long non-coding RNA (329 nucleotides) under Jatropha curcas. RNAcentral describes it as "long non-coding RNA (JCUR_LNC002389)". Lineage: Eukaryota; Viridiplantae; Streptophyta; Magnoliopsida; Malpighiales; Euphorbiaceae. The record is from RNAcentral.
CCAGAAUAGGGAGAGAGAGUGAACGGAGCUGUUGUGUUGGCUGAAGUAGAGAAGUCGAUACUCGUUUGAGCUACAGCGCUCACUGGAGUCGCGAGCGAGGAGACGCAAUGUCGAGCUAUGGCGAUCGGUGGCUGAGGUCGACAUUGAAUAGUGGCGACUGGAGACUGGAAUCGCCAGCAGCAUCGAUCGAAAACUGGAUCGCAGGUGGUGCUGUUGCUCGCUCAAAACGAAAACAGAGGGGGUAGGAGCAAGGGCAGUGGUGGCGACACAGUGAAGGCUCGUUGAGCCUGUCUCAGGCGAUCGAAGACCGAGAGAAAGACAGAGAGAAC